UCAGGUGUUGUCAUGACUGAAUGAAGUCAGACUGGAGAGUUUCCUUCUUCCACCUGGAACUGUGACCUCCUGUGUUUCUGACUCUUCACCUGUGUCUCCUCUCACAGGACCAGAUGAUCUGCUGCAUCCUGAUGCUCAGCAGCCUGGUCUCCUCUGUCUGGGGAACAUGUGUAGUGAAUGUGACACAGAGCUCCUAUCAGGCAGAGGAGAACGAAGACGUCACACUGGAGUGGACGUUCACAACCACAGCUCACAGCUCCUCUGACUCUCUCUCUUUCUAUCUACUGUAGUCUGUUAACUGUUGACAAAGAGUCAGUCCUGUUCCAUCUCCAUGAGGGCGUCGAGGUCCCAGAGUCUCAGGAUAAACAGUUUUCAGGACGAGUCCAGUGGGACACAGACGUCCUCAGAGAAGGACGACUCAGACUCCAUGUGUCCAGACUCAGGACUAAUGACUCAGGACUCUACCUGUGUGAAGUCACCACAGGUAACGAUGGGAGCUCUGACAGCUGUGACCUCAACGUCACAGCAGGGACCGACCUGAACCCGAGAGACCAGACUCAGCAGGUCGAGGAAGGAUCAGCCUCUACUGUGGAGUCGGACUGACAGCAGCAGCUCUACUGACUGUUUGUUGCUUUAUAUUCUUUAAGUGUUGGACUGGAAAACAAGAUUUCUACCCAGAGUCCAGUGGUGGAUCAGUGGGAACGGUUUGGUCAACA
This is a long non-coding RNA of Monopterus albus (swamp eel), 716 nucleotides long. RefSeq lists it as uncharacterized. The transcript has 3 exons. The record is from RefSeq and is a predicted model, not a curated record. NCBI's taxonomy places the organism in Eukaryota, Metazoa, Chordata, Actinopteri, Synbranchiformes, Synbranchidae.